This 832-nucleotide ribosomal RNA is filed under the name Escherichia coli. Its description in RNAcentral is "partial 23S ribosomal RNA". It matches the Rfam family "Bacterial large subunit ribosomal RNA", at positions 1 to 875 of the family's 2925-position model. Lineage: Bacteria; Pseudomonadati; Pseudomonadota; Gammaproteobacteria; Enterobacterales; Enterobacteriaceae. The record is from RNAcentral.
GGUUAAGCGACUAAGCGUACACGGUGGAUGCCCUGGCAGUCAGAGGCGAUGAAGGACGUGCUAAUCUGCGAUAAGCGUCGGUAAGGUGAUAUGAACCGUUAUAACCGGCGAUUUCCGAAUGGGGAAACCCAGUGUGUUUCGACACACUAUCAUUAACUGAAUCCAUAGGUUAAUGAGGCGAACCGGGGGAACUGAAACAUCUAAGUACCCCGAGGAAAAGAAAUCAACCGAGAUUCCCCCAGUAGCGGCGAGCGAACGGGGAGCAGCCCAGAGCCUGAAUCAGUGUGUGUGUUAGUGGAAGCGUCUGGAAAGGCGCGCGAUACAGGGUGACAGCCCCGUACACAAAAAUGCACAUAUUGUGAGCUCGAUGAGUAGGGCGGGACACGUGGUAUCCUGUCUGAAUAUGGGGGGACCAUCCUCCAAGGCUAAAUACUCCUGACUGACCGAUAGUGAACCAGUACCGUGAGGGAAAGGCGAAAAGAACCCCGGCGAGGGGAGUGAAAAAGAACCUGAAACCGUGUACGUACAAGCAGUGGGAGCACGCUUAGGCGUGUGACUGCGUACCUUUUGUAUAAUGGGUCAGCGACUUAUAUUCUGUAGCAAGGUUAACCGAAUAGGGGAGCCGAAGGGAAACCGAGUCUUAACUGGGCGUUAAGUUGCAGGGUAUAGACCCGAAACCCGGUGAUCUAGCCAUGGGCAGGUUGAAGGUUGGGUAACACUAACUGGAGGACCGAACCGACUAAUGUUGAAAAAUUAGCGGAUGACUUGUGGCUGGGGGUGAAAGGCCAAUCAAACCGGGAGAUAGCUGGUUCUCCCCGAAAGCUAUUUAGGU